AAGCCUGGCCUCUCCACAAUCCUGGAAUGGUCUCAAAGACUCGACAAUAACCGGUGUGGUUAAGGCAAGCAAAUGUGACUUACAACAGCAAGACUGAAGACUGAUCCUAGGAGGUGGCAGAGGGCUGUUCAGUUCACAUUGGACCUAUGCGCUGCCAGCACUGCAGGUGUAGCUGAAGAGGAAUUAAAGAGCUUCUGGUCUCUCAAGCCACUCCUUCCUUAUGGCUCCAAUGUUAAAUUCUUGGGCAAAGUUCUUUAUUUCAGCCAGAAACUCAGACCUCUUAUACCUUAACAUCAUGUUCUGUACUCAUUCAGUACACAGAACUUUUAUUAGUGUUUCAUGAGAGCUUUGUCUAUGGAAUUAAUCCUGGGGAAACAAUUGGUGCUUGUGCUAUGAUUCAGAGAACAUCAGCAUGUUUCAGAAAGAAUUCCGCCCUUUGAAAUGCGAGUCCAACUGAAUUGCAAGAUCAUGAUGCAGAAUACCAUUAGAGAAGGAUAGUCUUAUUCAAAUCAAAGGAUGCAUGUUUUUUUCUCUUCUCUAGUUGCCUGUUAGGGGUGUGCAA
This is a long non-coding RNA of Alligator sinensis (Chinese alligator), 562 nucleotides long. RefSeq lists it as uncharacterized. The transcript has 3 exons. The record is from RefSeq and is a predicted model, not a curated record. NCBI's taxonomy places the organism in Eukaryota, Metazoa, Chordata, Crocodylia, Alligatoridae.